This 921-nucleotide unclassified non-coding RNA is filed under the name Hevea brasiliensis (rubber tree). The record is from RNAcentral. Lineage: Eukaryota; Viridiplantae; Streptophyta; Magnoliopsida; Malpighiales; Euphorbiaceae.
GAGCUUGAUAUAAAGAUUCCCUGCUGGCGCGCUCGCUGUAGCUCCUGUUCCAGUUGGGUCAGCUUCAAGCGGCUACUUUCCAGUUGCUGGACAUAGGCUUUCUUCCUCAACCGGCUUUUUCUUGCAGCUUCUCUAUUUUGGGCAAGUCUACGAAGAGUCUUCUGAUCCAAUUUAUCCUUGGAUCUGUCACUGGAAUCUGAAACUGCAACAAUACUAGAUUGACCCCUAUCAAACCUCUGAUUUUUUUCAUCAGUGUCUGCAUCUGUUGAUAUAUCAGUCCGUGGACUGGCAUCAGCCAUAUUGGACUCUCCCAAAUUCUCUGUAUUGCCACUAGAUAUGGAUACCAGGUUCAACUGUUGAUUCUUUUCUAGUGGCAAUCUUUGCAACUCCACUUGGGCAGCAGAUGGAUUAAUAUUAAAGUAAGUAGUUGACUUGUCAAAAGUGCCAAUAUUGAGGGGAUCCGAAGAGACUGCUUGGCUACUUGCUUUUGCUGAAUUGAACAAUGUAUUUGCACUCAGGUCAACAGCAUCAUCGAAGCGAAAUGCAAUAUUUUGCUCAAACACCCCAAUAUCAGAGGCACGAUAUGAUUGGAUUGUAUUUCCCUCUAUGCUAAGUGCAUUCGAAAUGGGUAAUUGAGGAUCAAAGCUCAGCAUCCCGUUGGCUUCCUUCUCAUCUUCCACACCCACCCUACUCCCCAUACAUCACCAUCAUCCUCACUUCCUUAGUCCCGUUCAUGCAAAUUAGCCAAACCACUAACUGGCAAUUUGUAGUUGAUGAUGAUAUUGGUGAUGGUAGAUGAUAAUGAAGAUGAAAUAAUUUAUGCUGUAAAAAAUUUUUAUGUAUUGGAUUGGAGAGAGAGUGUGUGUGGGGGGAGGAUCAAUCCAAUCUCUAGACGUCCUCUUCUGGGAAAUCUUCCACUUU